GCUCAGCCCACUCAGUGAUCAGGACUGAACACAGCUGCUCACCAUGGAGAGUGUGCUCAGCUGGGUUUUCCUGGUGGCUGUUUUCAAAGGUGUCCAGUGUGAGGUGCAGCUGAUGGAGUCUGGGGGAGGCCUGGUGCAGCCUGGGGGUUCCCUGCGACUCUCCUGUGCAGCCUCUGGAUUCACGUUCAGUAAUUACUACAUGCACUGGGUCCGCCAGGCUCCAGGGAAGGGGCUGGAGUGGGUCUCAUACAUUAGUGGUGGUAGCAGUGACAUAAACUAUGCCAACGCUGUGAAGGGCCGAUUCACCAUCUCCAGAGACAACUCCAAGAACACCCUGUACCUGCAAAUGAGCAGUCUGAGAGUCGAGGACACAGCCACCUAUUACUGUGCUAGAGACACAAUACUCAAGGUCCCUCCUCUGCCAGAUCCCCUGUGA
This is a non-coding RNA of Marmota monax (woodchuck), 436 nucleotides long. Lineage: Eukaryota; Metazoa; Chordata; Mammalia; Rodentia; Sciuridae. The record is from the annotation of a RefSeq genome assembly.